Molecule: ribosomal RNA, 460 nt
Filed under: uncultured bacterium
Lineage: Bacteria
Description: partial 16S ribosomal RNA
Rfam family: Bacterial small subunit ribosomal RNA
Source: RNAcentral
CCUACGGGAGGCAGCAGUGAGGAAUAUUGGUCAAUGGACGAGAGUCUGAACCAGCCAAGUAGCGUGAAUGAUGACUGCCCUAUGGGUUGUCAACUUCUUUUAUAUGGGAAUAAAAUGUUCCACGUGUGGGAUUUUGUAUGUACCAUAUGAAUAAGGAUCGGCUAACUCCGUUCCAGCAGCCGCGGUAAUACGGAGGAUCCGAGCGUUAUCCGGAUUUAUUGGGUUUAAAGGGAGCGUAGGUGGAUUGUUAAGUCAGUUGUGAAAGUUUGCGGAUCAACCGUAAAAUUGCAGUUGAAACUGGCAGUCUGGAGUACAGUAGAGGUGGGUGGAAUUCGUGGUGUAGCGGUGAAAUGCUUAGAUAGCACGAAGAACUCCGAUGGCGAAGGCAGUUCACUGGACUGCAACUGACACUGAGGCUCGAAAGUGUGGGUAUCAAACAGGAUUAGAUACCCCGGUAGUC